UCGGCUUUACUGUUUCCCCUCGGCGGGCAGCGCGCGGGCACCUCGGCCCCGCGGAGCUCGCCUGGACGCGCCCGUCGCCAGGCUCGGGUGGGUGACGCUGGCCGCGUGGAUCUCCGCUCGCUGGGUCCUGCGACCCCAGGGCAAAAACGUGUGUGCGUUGGUCUGUCCUUGUUUAUGGAGCGGUUUCCGGUGAAUGUUGGACAGAAACUAAAUAAUUAAAAGAAACUCAACCCUGAAUCCUAGCAAACGUCAGGUUUAAGACGACGGAGACUCAAGAGAAGCUCCAAAUCCAAGGUCGAGAGGACCCAGGUUUCCACCACUUCUUCCAAAUAAAUUUUACUAAUCUUUCUACAAGGAUUGCGUAUUAAAGUAAGACAGCCUCUCCACGCCAAAUUAAGGCUGAAUGUCGACGUUUUUCCGUCACCGCAUGAAAGGAAUCCUCUAGAACUUACUUUUAGGGACAGUCUCUUCUAUCCCGAAUUUUUGUAUUUGUAGGGAAUUUUAUGGAGUAGAGGGGCGAAGAGGGAAUAAUGUCUUCCAUUCAAAUAAAACCCCAAAUCACGCUCUUAGGACCGUCGGUGGGAAAGCCUGCGGGAGAACCCGCACUCUGUCCUGGCACACAUCGCCCUGGGGUGAGCAGGGUGGAAUCUGAGUCUCCUUUUCCCGCCUGACCCCGGCUCGCCCCGGCCGCCUUUUCGGGCCGGCGGCUGCAGGAGCCUCGGCGCCGCUAGGGGAUGCAGUGGCUCAAAGGACCAGGGAGGCCGAGGAGGUUGGAGCCCGCGGGGCCGCCCAAUCGCGG
Molecule: long non-coding RNA, 799 nt
Organism: Diceros bicornis minor
Lineage: Eukaryota; Metazoa; Chordata; Mammalia; Perissodactyla; Rhinocerotidae
Exons: 3
Source: RefSeq, a predicted model, not a curated record